GCAUAUCAAUAAGCGGAGGAAAAGAAACCAACCGGGAUUGCCUUAGUAACGGCGAGUGAAGCGGCAAAAGCUCAAAUUUGAAAUCUGGUACCUUCGGUGCCCGAGUUGUAAUUUGGAGAGGGCAACUUUGGGGCCGUUCCUUGUCUAUGUUCCUUGGAACAGGACGUCAUAGAGGGUGAGAAUCCCGUGUGGCGAGGAGUGCGGUUCUUUGUAAAGUGCCUUCGAAGAGUCGAGUUGUUUGGGAAUGCAGCUCUAAGUGGGUGGUAAAUUCCAUCUAGAGCUAAAUAUUGGCGAGAGACCGAUAGCGAACAAGUACAGUGAUGGAAAGAUGAAAAGAACUUUGAAAAGAGAGUGAAAAAGUACGUGAAAUUGUUGAAAGGGAAGGGCAUUUGAUCAGACAUGGUGUUUUGUGCCCUCUGCUCCUUGUGGGUAGGGGAAUCUCGCAUUUCACUGGGCCAGCAUCAGUUUUGGUGGCAGGAUAAAUCCAUAGGAAUGUAGCUUGCCUCGGUAAGUAUUAUAGCCUGUGGGAAUACUGCCAGCUGGGACUGAGGACUGCGACGUAAGUCAAGGAUGCUGGCAUAAUGGUUAUAUGCCGCCCGUCUUGAAACACGGACC
This 615-nucleotide ribosomal RNA is filed under the name uncultured yeast. RNAcentral describes it as "eukaryotic LSU rRNA". It matches the Rfam family "Eukaryotic large subunit ribosomal RNA", at positions 38 to 667 of the family's 3401-position model. The record is from RNAcentral. Lineage: Eukaryota; Fungi.